AGUGAACGCUGGCGGUAGGCCUAACACAUGCCAGUCGAACGGCAGCACAGUAAGAGCUUGCUCUUACGGGUGGCGAGUGGCGGACGGGUGAGGAAUACAUCGGAAUCUACUUUUUCGUGGGGGAUAACGUAGGGAAACUUACGCUAAUACCGCAUACGACCUACGGGUGAAAGCAGGGGAUCUUCGGACCUUGCGCGAUUGAAUGCGCCGAUGUCGGAUUAGCUAGUUGGCGGGGUAAAGGCCCACCAAGGCGACGAUCCGUAGCUGGUCUGAGAGGAUGAUCAGCCACACGGGAACUGAGACACGGUCCAGACUCCUACGGGAGGCAGCAGUGGGGAAUAUUAGACAAUGGGCGCAAGCCUGAUCCAGCCAUACCGCGUGGGUGAAGAAGGCCUUCGGGUUGUAAAGCCCUUUUGUUGGGAAAGAAAAGCAGCAGGUUAAUACCCCGCUGUUCUGACGGUACCCAAAGAAUAAGCACCGGCUAACUUCGUG
This 492-nucleotide ribosomal RNA is filed under the name uncultured bacterium. Its description in RNAcentral is "partial 16S ribosomal RNA". It matches the Rfam family "Bacterial small subunit ribosomal RNA", at positions 29 to 507 of the family's 1533-position model. The record is from RNAcentral.